RNAcentral lists this microRNA precursor (68 nucleotides) under Tursiops truncatus (common bottlenose dolphin). Its description in RNAcentral is "miRNA (ENSTTRG00000024464.1)". The record is from RNAcentral. Lineage: Eukaryota; Metazoa; Chordata; Mammalia; Artiodactyla; Delphinidae.
UGGGUUGGCCAAAAAGUUCGUUUGGGUUUUUCUGUAAGCGGAAAGACCCGAACUUUAUGGCCAGCCCA